Molecule: ribosomal RNA, 492 nt
Filed under: uncultured bacterium
Lineage: Bacteria
Description: partial 16S ribosomal RNA
Rfam family: Bacterial small subunit ribosomal RNA
Source: RNAcentral
AUUGAACGCUGGCGGCAUGCUUUACACAUGCAAGUCGAACGGUAACAGGCCUUCGGGUGCUGACGAGUGGCGAACGGGUGGGUAAUGCAUCGGAACGUACCCAGAGGUGGGGGAUAACGCAGCGAAAGCUGUGCUAAUACCGCAUGUGAUCUGAGGAUGAAAGCGGGGGACCGAGCAGCAAUGUUUGGCCUCGCGCCUUUGGAGCGGCCGAUGUCGGAUUGGCUAGUUGGUGGGGUAAAGGCCUACCAAGGCGACGAUCCGUAGCUGGUCUGAGAGGACGACCAGCCACACUGGGACUGAGCCACGGCCCAGACUCCUACGGGAGGCAGCAGUGGGGAAUUUUGGACAAUGGGCGCAAGCCUGAUCCAGCAAUGCCGCGUGCGGGAAGAAGGCCUUCGGGUUGUAAACCGCUUUUGGCAGGAACGAAACGGUGUCCGCUAAUACCGGGCGCUAAUGACGGUACCUGCAGAAUAAGCACCGGCUAACUACGUG